This 507-nucleotide ribosomal RNA is filed under the name Triticum aestivum (bread wheat). Its description in RNAcentral is "partial small subunit ribosomal RNA". The record is from RNAcentral. Lineage: Eukaryota; Viridiplantae; Streptophyta; Magnoliopsida; Poales; Poaceae.
AUGCUGUUGGUCCAUAAGAGAGAUGUUCGUAGGAAAGACAAGCUUGUGAUCCGGUAUGGUUCACUGUUAUUCCAGGAUCAGAAGAGGAUAGCGAAUCUAAACUACAUCUACAACUGCAACGACACCGAGUCUCUAUGGAUGCUUCGAAUGCAGAGAACACAUUUCGUCAGGCUCGUGCAUACAUUCAGGAGCAGGGGGCUGCUACAAGAUAGCAUCAACACCACUUUGGAAGAGUAAGUUGUCAUGUUCCUCCAUGUUGUGGGUCAUAACGGGAGGUUCCGGGUGUUCCACAACACGUUCAGGAGAUCAAUGGAGACCAUUUUCAGGUAUUUCAGACAAGUGGUGUAUGUUGUUGGAGAGCUCGGAGGAGACAUGAUCAGGUCACCAGCCGGGCAAACUCCUACCAAGAUUCGCACUAGCCUAGGAUGGUAUCCGUAUUUCAAGGUGAGCACUACUCGUAGUUCAUGCCUUCACAUGGUUGUCAUGCGAUUUUCAGGAUUGCCAUAA